GCUGGGAUAGUUCAGUUGGUAAAAGCAGGAGACUCUUAAUCUCAGGGACAUGGGUUCGAACCCCAUGUUGGGCA
Non-coding RNA from Podarcis lilfordi (Lilford's wall lizard), 74 nucleotides. The record is from the annotation of a GenBank genome assembly. Lineage: Eukaryota; Metazoa; Chordata; Lepidosauria; Squamata; Lacertidae.